Molecule: long non-coding RNA, 213 nt
Organism: Melanotaenia boesemani (Boeseman's rainbowfish)
Lineage: Eukaryota; Metazoa; Chordata; Actinopteri; Atheriniformes; Melanotaeniidae
Exons: 3
Source: RefSeq, a predicted model, not a curated record
CCGUUACUCCGUUGGAGUCCGUGGAGUCUGUGUUUUGUUCCACCCAGAUCAAUAUUUGAAAAGGAUGGACAAAAAGAAAAUACCAGCAAAAAAGAGAGUACGGGUUCCCACCCAGAAAAUGAAGGACCUGCAGAACUCCCCUCCACCAAAUGAGCAAUCUGGGUGUUUUGCAUUUGUCAGAUGGGAGGAUGGUUAUACUGCCAAAAUCUUUAC